This 70-nucleotide transfer RNA is filed under the name Dipodomys ordii (Ord's kangaroo rat). It matches the Rfam family "tRNA". Rfam says of the family: Transfer RNA (tRNA) molecules are approximately 80 nucleotides in length. Their secondary structure includes four short double-helical elements and three loops (D, anti-codon, and T loops). Lineage: Eukaryota; Metazoa; Chordata; Mammalia; Rodentia; Heteromyidae. The record is from Rfam by way of RNAcentral.
GGGAAUGUGGCUUAGUGGUAGAGUGUUUGCCUAACAUGCAUGAAGCCCUGGGUUCGAUUCCUCAGUACCA